AGGAUAAACGCUGGCGGCGUGCUUCAGGCAUGCAAGUCGAACGGACACUCCGGUGUCAGUGGCGGACGGGUGAGUAACACGUAAGUAACCUGCCCAGAAGUGGGGAAUAACUGGCCGAAAGGCUGGCUAAUACCGCAUGUGAUGGUCUUUCCCUGGAGAGGUCAUUAAAGGCGAAAGUCGCUUCUGGAGGGGCUUGCGGCCGAUUAGUUAGUUGGUGGGGUAACGGCCUACCAAGACUGCGAUCGGUAGCUGGUCUGAGAGGACGGACAGCCACACGGGGACUGAGAUACGGCCCCGACUCCUACGGGAGGCAGCAGCUAGGAUCGUUGGGAAUGGGCGAAAGCCUGACCCAGCAACGCGCGUGCGCGAUG
RNAcentral lists this ribosomal RNA (371 nucleotides) under uncultured soil bacterium. RNAcentral's name for it is "bacterial SSU rRNA". It matches the Rfam family "Bacterial small subunit ribosomal RNA", at positions 26 to 410 of the family's 1533-position model. The record is from RNAcentral.